Long non-coding RNA from Agrilus planipennis (emerald ash borer), 312 nucleotides. RefSeq lists it as uncharacterized. The record is from RefSeq and is a predicted model, not a curated record. NCBI's taxonomy places the organism in Eukaryota, Metazoa, Arthropoda, Insecta, Coleoptera, Buprestidae. The transcript has 4 exons.
AUCAAAGGGAAGUGCACGUUAGUAGACGGUACAGAGGUUUCUUAAGAAAAUGAUGAACCCUGAGGAUAUCCCGUGAUACUGGUGGCUAAACAUCCUUUAUCAUCUGACGCAGCCUAGGACCAUAAAAUCAACAACUGCGAGUUUCUAGGAUUCCACACUAUAAUAAGGGUGCCAACGGAACCCUAUUGCUGUACGUCUGUCCGCCUAGCAGGUGCUUCUAAUUUCUUAACGAAACAAGGGGUUCCCAAUACAAGAAAAAUAAAGACUUCGCGAAUUUCCUUCUUUGUCUUUGGUGAGUAGAUUCUACUUAAA